GGGCCGCUGGUCUAGUGGUAUGAUUCUCGCUUAGGGUUCACCCUGGGUUCAACUACUCCUGGAUUUCUGGGAAGUGUUCUGCGAGAGGUCCCGGGUUCAAUCCCCGGGUGGCCCC
Molecule: non-coding RNA, 115 nt
Organism: Parathielavia hyrcaniae
Lineage: Eukaryota; Fungi; Ascomycota; Sordariomycetes; Sordariales; Chaetomiaceae
Source: the annotation of a GenBank genome assembly